CAAGUCGAACGGUAACGCGGACUUCGGUCUGGCGACGAGUGGCGAACGGGUGAGUAAUGCAUCGGAACGUAUCCAUUUGUGGGGGAUAGCCCGGCGAAAGCCGGAUUAAUACCGCAUAAUCUCUGAGGAGGGAAGUGGGGGGACCUUCGGGCCUUACGCUGAUGGAGCGGCUGAUGUCGGAUUAGCUAGUUGGUAGGGGUAAAGGCCUACCAAGGCGACGAUCCGUAGCUGGUCUGAGAGGACGGCCAGCCACACUGGAACUGAGACACGGUCCAGACUCC
Molecule: ribosomal RNA, 281 nt
Filed under: unidentified marine bacterioplankton
Lineage: Bacteria
Description: partial 16S ribosomal RNA
Rfam family: Bacterial small subunit ribosomal RNA
Source: RNAcentral